Molecule: ribosomal RNA, 450 nt
Filed under: uncultured bacterium
Lineage: Bacteria
Description: partial 16S ribosomal RNA
Rfam family: Bacterial small subunit ribosomal RNA
Source: RNAcentral
CCUACGGGGGGCUGCAGUAAGGAAUAUUGGUCAAUGGACGAAAGUCUGAACCAGCCAUCCCGCGUGCAGGAUGAAAGCCCUAUGGGUUGUAAACUGCUUUUAGCAGAGAAGAAAAGCUUUCAUUAAUGAGAGUCUGACGGUAUCUGCAGAAUAAGCACCGGCUAACUCCGUGCCAGCAGCCGCGGUAAUACGGAGGGUGCGGGCGUGAUCCGGAAUAACUGGGUCGAAAGGGGAGUAAGGAGUCAGAGGUGAAAUCUUGUCGCUUAACGAUAAAAUUGCCAAUGCUACUGGUACUCUUGAAUUGGGUUGAGGUUAGCGGAAUGUGACAUGUAGCGGUGAAAUGCAUAGAUAUGUCAUGGAACACCAAUUGCGAAGGCAGCUAACUGGGCCUUGAUUGACGCUGAGGCACGAAAGCGUGGGGAGCGAACAGGAUUAGAUACCCCAGUAGUC